This is an unclassified non-coding RNA of Vombatus ursinus (common wombat), 304 nucleotides long. It matches the Rfam family "Metazoan signal recognition particle RNA". Rfam says of the family: The signal recognition particle (SRP) is a universally conserved ribonucleoprotein. The record is from Ensembl. NCBI's taxonomy places the organism in Eukaryota, Metazoa, Chordata, Mammalia, Diprotodontia, Vombatidae.
GUUAGGCCUAAUGGUUCAAGCCAGCAAUCCUUAUUAUUGGGGAGACUGAGGCUGGUGGAUCUCUUGAGUUCAGGAAUUCUGAGCUGUGUAGAGGGGCUAAAGCCAAUAAGUGUAUGCACUAAGUUCAGCACCAGUAUGGUGAGUGCCCAGGAGCAAAAGGCUAGUAGGCUGCCUAAGGAGGAGUGGAUAGGCCCACAUCAGAAAUGGAGCCAGUCAAAGCUUCCACACAGAUCAGCACUGGGACCAUGCCUGUAAGUGGCCACUUCAUUUCCGGACUGAGUGAGAUAGGGAUCCUCAGCCUCUU